Long non-coding RNA from Brienomyrus brachyistius, 574 nucleotides. RefSeq lists it as uncharacterized. Lineage: Eukaryota; Metazoa; Chordata; Actinopteri; Osteoglossiformes; Mormyridae. The record is from RefSeq and is a predicted model, not a curated record. The transcript has 3 exons.
UUUUAUUACGCAUGUUUUUCGGGGCUUUAAAAUUGGGAGUACGACCGAUGCUAAUUUCGGUGCUGGAAAAGAGGCGGCGUGUGUGUGUUUGUGCUCGCGACGCGCAUGUCCUGCAGGGCAGCGCUAUCUCACCCGAGUAUCGAGGGUUAACUGGAAUUCUGCUGACUGAUCACAACCGCAGGGGCUGGCGGAGACGCCGUCUCCUCCUCAGUGUUGGUUUCACCAGCUGCCUGGAACCUGGGUCCAAAUCGAGGCUUGUGUUACAGGUUUCAGGACGGGAGACGCUGGUGUUCCGAGAUCGGAUCGCCCGAGAAGCCUCCCCUUCCCUCUCUCCUACUUUUCAUGCUGCUAAAUCCUCCCUUUCUUAUCUGCAUUUUGCCGCCAGUGCUGCGAGGUGGAAUAGCUGCUGUUUGACCCCGCGAUUGAGCCACAGCAUCAAGGCAGACAGCACUGUACGUCCUGUUUCUCCAUACAAGAAGAAGGAGAAUGGAAAGAGAGUCUAGCUUUAAUUCUUCAGGUGACCCCCCCCGCCUACUUUUCAGUUCACCUUUUUUCGUCCCCCUCCCCCCGAGGG